CCUACGGGAGGCAGCAGUGGGGAAUAUUGGACAAUGGGGGAAACCCUGAUCCAGCAAUGCCGCGUGAGUGAUGAAGGCCUUAGGGUCGUAAAGCUCUUUUACCAGGGAUGAUAAUGACAGUACCUGGAGAAUAAGCUCCGGCUAACUCCGUGCCAGCAGCCGCGGUAAUACGGAGGGAGCUAGCGUUGUUCGGAAUUACUGGGCGUAAAGCGUGCGUAGGCGGUUAUUCAAGUCAGAGGUGAAAGCCCGGGGCUCAACCCCGGAACGGCCUUUGAAACUAGAUAACUAGAAUCUUGGAGAGGUCAGUGGAAUUCCGAGUGUAGAGGUGAAAUUCGUAGAUAUUCGGAAGAACACCAGUGGCGAAGGCGACUGACUGGACAAGUAUUGACGCUGAGGUACGAAAGCGUGGGGAGCAAACAGGAUUAGAUACCCUGGUAGUCCACGCCGUAAACGAUGAUAACUAGCUGUCCGGACACUUGGUGUUUGGGUGGCGCAGCUAACGCAUUAAGUUAUCCGCCUGGGGAUACGGUCGCAAGNUUAAAACUCAAAGGAAUUGACGG
This 560-nucleotide ribosomal RNA is filed under the name uncultured bacterium. Its description in RNAcentral is "bacterial SSU rRNA". It matches the Rfam family "Bacterial small subunit ribosomal RNA", at positions 338 to 916 of the family's 1533-position model. The record is from RNAcentral.